RNAcentral lists this ribosomal RNA (468 nucleotides) under uncultured bacterium. RNAcentral describes it as "bacterial SSU rRNA". It matches the Rfam family "Bacterial small subunit ribosomal RNA", at positions 333 to 793 of the family's 1533-position model. The record is from RNAcentral.
GCACUCCUACGGGAGGCAGCAGUGGGGAAUAUUGCACAAUGGGCGCAAGCCUGAUGCAGCCAUGCCGCGUGUAUGAAGAAGGCCUUCGGGUUGUAAAGUACUUUCAGCAGUGAGGAAGGUGGGUAUGUUAAUAGCAUACUCAUUUGACGUUAGCUGCAGAAGAAGCACCGGCUAACUCCGUGCCAGCAGCCGCGGUAAUACGGAGGGUGCGAGCGUUAAUCGGAAUUACUGGGCGUAAAGCGCAUGCAGGUGGUUUGUUAAGUCAGAUGUGAAAGCCCGGGGCUCAACCUCGGAAUUGCAUUUGAAAACUGGCAAACUAGAGUACUGUAGAGGGGGUAGAAUUUCAGGUGUAGCGGUGAAAUGCGUAGAGAUCUGAAGGAAUACCGGUGGCGAAGGCGGCCCCCUGGACAGAUACUGACACUCAGAUGCGAAAGCGUGGGGAGCAAACAGGAUUAGAUACCCUGGUAG